AUGUCAACUGGUUGUUGGGAAGGUUCCUUCUCAGUAACGUAGCUAACGCGUGAAGUUGACCGCCUGGGGAGUACGGCCGCAAGGUUGAAACUCAAAGGAAUUGACGGGGGACCCGCACAAGCGGUGGGAUGAUGUGGUUUAAUUCGAUGCAACGCGAAAAACCUUACCUACCCUUGACAUGCCUGGAAUCCUGCAGAGAUGUGGGAGUGCUCGAAAGAGAACCAGGACACAGGUGCUGCAUGGCCGUCGUCAGCUCGUGUCGUGAGAUGUUG
This 272-nucleotide ribosomal RNA is filed under the name uncultured beta proteobacterium. Its description in RNAcentral is "partial 16S ribosomal RNA". It matches the Rfam family "Bacterial small subunit ribosomal RNA", at positions 809 to 1077 of the family's 1533-position model. The record is from RNAcentral. Lineage: Bacteria; Pseudomonadati; Pseudomonadota; Betaproteobacteria.